RNAcentral lists this ribosomal RNA (275 nucleotides) under uncultured bacterium. RNAcentral describes it as "partial 16S ribosomal RNA". It matches the Rfam family "Bacterial small subunit ribosomal RNA", at positions 399 to 691 of the family's 1533-position model. The record is from RNAcentral.
GCGUGAGUGACGAAGGCCCUAGGGUUGUAAAGCUCUUUCACCGGUGACGAUAGUGACGGUAGCCGGAGAAGAAGCCCCGGCUAACUCCGUGCCAGCAGCCGCGGUAAGACGGAGGGGGCUAGCGUUGUUCGGAAUCACUGGGCGUAAAGCGCGCGUAGGCGGCUGAUCAAGUUGGGCGUGAAAGCCCGGGGCUCAACCCCGGAAAUGCGCCCAAAACUGGUUAGCUAGAGACCGAGAGAGGGUGGUGGAAUUCCCAGUGUAGAGGUGAAAUUCGU